UUUGGUACGAGUUGAGACUCGUAGCAGAUAGCUCAGUAACACGUGGCCAAACUACCCUAUCGAGCACGAUACUCUCGGGAAACUGAGGCUAAUAGUGCAUACGGCUCGGAGUCUGGAGUGACUCGAGUCAGAAACGCUCAGGCGCGAUAGGAUGUGGCUGCGGCCGAUUAGGUAGACGGUGGGGUAACGGCCCACCGUGCCAGUAAUCGGUACGGGUUGUGAGAGCAAGAGCCCGGAGACGGUAUCUGAGACAAGAUACCGGGCCCUACGGGGCGCAGCAGGCGCGAAACCUUUACACUGCACGCGAGUGCGAUAAGGGGACUCCAAGUGCGAGGGCAUAUAGUCCUCGCUUUUCGUGACCGUAGGAUGGUCACAGAAUAAGUGCUGGGCAAGACCGGUGCCAGCCGCCGCGGUAAUACCGGCAGCACGAGUGAUGACCGCUAUUAUUGGGCCUAAAGCGUCCGUAGCUGGCCACGCAAGUCCAUCGGGAAAUCUCUCCGCUCAACGGAGAGGCGUCCGGUGGAAACUGUGUGGCUUGGGACCGGAAGAUCCAGAGGGUACGUCUGGGGUAGGAGUGAAAUCCCGUAAUCCGAGACGGAC
RNAcentral lists this ribosomal RNA (600 nucleotides) under Halostagnicola larsenii. RNAcentral's name for it is "bacterial SSU rRNA". It matches the Rfam family "Archaeal small subunit ribosomal RNA", at positions 58 to 657 of the family's 1478-position model. Lineage: Archaea; Methanobacteriati; Methanobacteriota; Halobacteria; Halobacteriales; Natrialbaceae. The record is from RNAcentral.